RNAcentral lists this ribosomal RNA (379 nucleotides) under Stilbops vetulus. RNAcentral's name for it is "partial 28S ribosomal RNA". The record is from RNAcentral. Lineage: Eukaryota; Metazoa; Arthropoda; Insecta; Hymenoptera; Ichneumonidae.
CCUGAGAAACCCAAAAGAUCGAAUGGGGAGAUUCAUCGUCAGCGAUACUGGUACGUGUGCGGUUCGUGAUGCCGGGGACCUCGGUCCCGUGGCACGCGUCCGCAUGGUUUUAUUGCCGGUUGUCGUCGGCGUGCACUUCUCCCCUAGUAGGACGUCGCGACCCGUUGGGUGUCGGUCUACGGCCCGGGUGGGCGCCUGUCGUGUGUCACGCUUCACGGCGUCAUGCGGCAGACCCCCGGUUGUCCGACCGGCUGCCCGGCGGUACUCGCACGGUAUCGGGCCGCAAAUUCGAACUGCGUCCGGCCCGCCGCAAGCGAGGUCAGUGUUUCCCGGAUGUACGGACCUAGCGCCGUCACCGGGCCUGGCCAGCUGUUGGUCG